This 722-nucleotide ribosomal RNA is filed under the name Microbacterium sp. Pd-S-(l)-l-D-7(4). Its description in RNAcentral is "bacterial SSU rRNA". It matches the Rfam family "Bacterial small subunit ribosomal RNA", at positions 105 to 839 of the family's 1533-position model. The record is from RNAcentral. Lineage: Bacteria; Bacillati; Actinomycetota; Actinomycetes; Micrococcales; Microbacteriaceae.
GGUGAGUAACACGUGAGCAACCUGCCCUUGACUCUGGGAUAAGCGCUGGAAACGGCGUCUAAUACUGGAUAUGAGACGUGAUCGCAUGGUCGUGUUUGGAAAGAUUUUUCGGUCUGGGAUGGGCUCGCGGCCUAUCAGCUUGUUGGUGAGGUAAUGGCUCACCAAGGCGUCGACGGGUAGCCGGCCUGAGAGGGUGACCGGCCACACUGGGACUGAGACACGGCCCAGACUCCUACGGGAGGCAGCAGUGGGGAAUAUUGCACAAUGGGCGGAAGCCUGAUGCAGCAACGCCGCGUGAGGGAUGACGGCCUUCGGGUUGUAAACCUCUUUUAGCAGGGAAGAAGCGAAAGUGACGGUACCUGCAGAAAAAGCGCCGGCUAACUACGUGCCAGCAGCCGCGGUAAUACGUAGGGCGCAAGCGUUAUCCGGAAUUAUUGGGCGUAAAGAGCUCGUAGGCGGUUUGUCGCGUCUGCUGUGAAAUCCCGAGGCUCAACCUCGGGCCUGCAGUGGGUACGGGCAGACUAGAGUGCGGUAGGGGAGAUUGGAAUUCCUGGUGUAGCGGUGGAAUGCGCAGAUAUCAGGAGGAACACCGAUGGCGAAGGCAGAUCUCUGGGCCGUAACUGACGCUGAGGAGCGAAAGGGUGGGGAGCAAACAGGCUUAGAUACCCUGGUAGUCCACCCCGUAAACGUUGGGAACUAGUUGUGGGGACCAUUCCACGGUU